AGAGCCUGUCCUGUUUGCUGGGAUGGAAAGGUGCCCGGGUAGAAGACUGAGAGGGCCAGGGUGCUGAAGGAUGACUCCAGCACCACCCUGGCUUUGGACUCCUGAGAUCAAAGGAGACUGCCCUCCAGGCACUGGGAGGAAGAGGCUUUGCUGAGCAUCUCCAAUCUGCUGCCGUGGAGAGGUGAGGUGACCGCUGAUAGGGAAGGGAGGGCUCCCCA
Molecule: long non-coding RNA, 218 nt
Filed under: Cavia porcellus (domestic guinea pig)
Lineage: Eukaryota; Metazoa; Chordata; Mammalia; Rodentia; Caviidae
Description: lncRNA (ENSCPOG00000039889.1)
Source: RNAcentral